RNAcentral lists this ribosomal RNA (446 nucleotides) under uncultured bacterium. RNAcentral's name for it is "bacterial SSU rRNA". It matches the Rfam family "Bacterial small subunit ribosomal RNA", at positions 330 to 792 of the family's 1533-position model. The record is from RNAcentral.
UCCAGACUCCUACGGGAGGCAGCAGUGGGGGAUAUUGCACAAUGGGGGAAACCCUGAUGCAGCGACGCCGCGUGUGGGAAGACGGUCCUCUGGAUUGUAAACCACUGUCCCCAGGGACGAAAAUGACGGUACCUGGGGAGGAAGCUCCGGCUAACUACGUGCCAGCAGCCGCGGUAAUACGUAGGGAGCGAGCGUUAUCCGGAUUUAUUGGGUUUAAAGGGUGCGUAGGCGGCGCUUCAGGUCAGCGGUGAAAUACCGGGGCUCAACCCCGGGGCUGCCGUUGAAACCGGAGCGCUAGAAUUCCGAUGCCGUCGGAGGAAUGUGUGGUGUAGCGGUGAAAUGCAUAGAUAUCACGCAGAACUCCGAUUGCGAAGGCAGCAUACCGGCGCCCAACUGACGCUGAAGCACGAAAGCGUGGGUAUCGAACAGGAUUAGAUACCCGUGUA